This 652-nucleotide long non-coding RNA is filed under the name Homo sapiens (human). RNAcentral's name for it is "non-protein coding lnc-BDP1-3:4". Lineage: Eukaryota; Metazoa; Chordata; Mammalia; Primates; Hominidae. The record is from RNAcentral.
GGAAUACCAAGAUAUUUAUUAUUUCCUAAAUAGUCAAGGCUACUUCUCAUCCCUUAGAUCUAAUUGGUCAUGCCUCUCUGCCCAGCAGAAUUUUAACACCUAUCCUUUCUCAUGCUAACUUCUAUUUAGAUUUCAGAUUAGAUCUCAAAGUUAAACUCCUUCAGAUGUGGACUCAGCUCAAAUACCAUGGAUACCAGAGAUAUCAUUGACUUAAUUAUUCUUAUGCUGAUUAGUUCUAAAGUUUAGAGAUUUAGGAAGGUACUAAGAGUGGCAAAUGUGUGUCAUCUGCAUCUUAAAAAAUAAGAACCUUUAUCACAUAGAAGUCCCCUAUUCUCCUCAGCAUUCUUCCCCAUCCUCCUUUACAGUCUCCUUAGACAUCUCAUACAUUUAGCAACCCAGACUAGAAUCUAAGCUCUGUCAAAGUGAUUUCUUAUUCCAUUUUACUGAAGCAGUGCCAAGCUUUAUCACUUCUGAGUUCAUGUCAACUGAAAUAGAGGAAAUGGGAACUAGAAACAUUAAACCAUGCGUAAUUAAUGGUUCUUUGUCUUGCUGGUCCUCUGGAACUCUUUUUAUGAGUGUUAUGCAGAUGCCCUAUAGCAGGAAGGGCAGUGCUGUCAUUUGAAUAGGGUUGGUUGUUCUCCACCAAAGUGCA